AACCGCAUGCAGGUAAACGGGUGGCGUCAAGCUGCGAACCCAGAGGAUUCAGCUGGCUAGGAUGUUGUGAUGCGCCUGGCGCAUCCAUCAGUCGGAAUAAGAUGUGAUAGUCCACUGGGAGACGGUGGGCCCGGCCGCAAGGUUGGGAUAUGUGUACCGGGUGUUAGCCGGAGCAUGCUAUUCAUCUGUUGGGCUGUCUAGUCAGUGCACUUUCUCUGUGGUGAACACCACGACCGGUGGAAUUGCCAGUCUGCUGUAGUCAAGUCUUGCUGAGAGGGUCCUUGUGGCCAACUUGGUAGGAUCACAGGCAAUGUCAGUGAACGGCGUAGGGGUGCCUUUGGUGUUCUUACGUGUUAUCGGCCACUGCUUGUCAACGGGCCUGCUCGGCGGUUGUUGUAACUGCUGCUGGGUGGUCUGGUGGGCUAUGGUGGUAAUAAAAACUGUGCAAGGCACCGGAGAUGUCGGCCUCAAAUGCACUCUGCACUGGCAUGUUACAAGUGCGAGGGGGUGCCAUUGCGGUCUGCCUGUUGUUGAGUCUGAUUGUCGUGUCGCCUGCGCAAAGUGGGCCCGGCAGUGGCUUGAUGCAGGAUGGGCCGUGGAUGGUGUCUCUCAGGUGUAGGGUGCGGUGGGCCCAAUAGUCAGUGGUGCUGUGGUAGACGAGCUACCCGACCCGUCUUGAAACACGGACCAAGGAGUUUAACAUGUAUGCAAGUCAAGGGGUCCUACGAAACCCAAAGGCGCAGUGAAAGUAAAGCUUCGACUUGUUCUCGGAGUGAGGUGAGAUCCUGCCGUGACUCGCAUCGCUUGGUGCCAGCAUCAGGCAAAGAGCGGUAGGCGCAUCACCGGCCCGUCCCAUGAUGUGGUCAUUGGAUGUCUGCAGUGGUUGCUUGC
Molecule: ribosomal RNA, 891 nt
Filed under: Scyphophyllidium deburonae
Lineage: Eukaryota; Metazoa; Platyhelminthes; Cestoda; Phyllobothriidea; Phyllobothriidae
Description: partial large subunit ribosomal RNA
Source: RNAcentral